Molecule: ribosomal RNA, 242 nt
Filed under: uncultured bacterium
Lineage: Bacteria
Description: partial 16S ribosomal RNA
Rfam family: Bacterial small subunit ribosomal RNA
Source: RNAcentral
CUAGCGUUGUUCGGAAUUACUGGGCGUAAAGAGCUCGUAGGUGGUUUGUCGCGUUGUUCGUGAAAACUCACAGCUUAACUGUGGGCGUGCGGGCGAUACGGGCAGACUGGAGUACUGCAGGGGAGACUGGAAUUCCUGGUGUAGCGGUGGAAUGCGCAGAUAUCAGGAGGAACACCGGUGGCGAAGGCGGGUCUCUGGGCAGUAACUGACGCUGAGGAGCGAAAGCGUGGGGAGCGAACAGG